AAGGAUCAUUGUCGAUGCCUCAAUCCAGAGAGACCCGCGGACACGUUUUGCCAACGCCCGGGACGGGCGGAGCUGCCCAGCAGCCCGCCCUCCCAGGAUGUCGGGACGGAGCCGCGCCACGCGGCCUCUCGUCCCGGCGCAACAACCAACAAACCCCGGCGCGGAACGCGCCAAGGAAUCAACAAUCGCAAAGCGCGCCCCGUCGGCCCGGGAACGGUGCCCGCACGGGGGACGUCGCAACAAUCGAGUCCAAAACGACUCUCGGCAACGGAUAUCUCGGCUCUUGCAUCGAUGAAGAACGCAGCGAAAUGCGAUACUUGGUGUGAAUUGCAGAAUCCCGUGAACCAUCGAGUCUUUGAACGCAAGUUGCGCCCGAAGCCGCUAGGCCAAGGGCACGCCUGCCUGGGUGUCACCAAUCGCCGCCCCAACCCCUGUGCCUCCGGCCACGGAGCGGGGCGAACGCUGGCCUCCCGUGAGCACCGCCUCGCGGCUGGCUGAAAAUCGGGUUCGUGGUGGACGCAGCGCCAUGACAUACGGUGGUUGAGCGUGUUCUCGAGGCCAGUCAUGCGCGAGGCCCCCACCAGCCGCGGACCCAGUGACCCACGAGCGACUCCGGUCGCCCACGACGCGACCUCAGGUCAGGC
This 644-nucleotide unclassified non-coding RNA is filed under the name Dalbergia martinii. RNAcentral's name for it is "partial contains 18S rRNA, ITS1, 5.8S rRNA and ITS2". The stretch from base 257 to 412 matches the Rfam family "5.8S ribosomal RNA". The record is from RNAcentral. Lineage: Eukaryota; Viridiplantae; Streptophyta; Magnoliopsida; Fabales; Fabaceae.